Molecule: transfer RNA, 84 nt
Filed under: Candidatus Dojkabacteria bacterium
Lineage: Bacteria
Description: tRNA-Leu
Rfam family: tRNA
About the family: Transfer RNA (tRNA) molecules are approximately 80 nucleotides in length. Their secondary structure includes four short double-helical elements and three loops (D, anti-codon, and T loops).
Source: RNAcentral
GCCCGGGUGGUGGAAUCGGUAGACACUGCGGACUUAAAAUCCGUUGCCGUUAUAGGCGUGAGGGUUCGAGUCCCUCCUCGGGUA